Long non-coding RNA from Sorghum bicolor (sorghum), 1825 nucleotides. RefSeq lists it as uncharacterized. The transcript has 4 exons. The record is from RefSeq and is a predicted model, not a curated record. NCBI's taxonomy places the organism in Eukaryota, Viridiplantae, Streptophyta, Magnoliopsida, Poales, Poaceae.
ACACCACCACGUCGCUGCCAGUUUUAUCCCUUUCGUCUUCGAUGGGUUCAGUUCCUGUGCUCGCUUCCUCGGCGCUGUCGCUCCUACUGUGGCCUCGGCUGUCCGUGCUUCUUCCUUUGAGUUUCGUUCGCCUAGUCCGCGCUACUGCUCUCUCCUCUGGUUUUCCUCACGCUCUUUGUUGUGCCUGCCGUCCUGUGUUGCCUCUACGUACUCGCCAUAUCUGUCUGUCGGCGGAUUCGCCGUCACCUUGCCUUGCCAUGGUGGGGGCUUUCCCCUGCCAUGGUGGACUAUCCUGCAGUCCUAUCUCAUCUUCUACUUCUGUUUUCAUUGUUCUGUUGGCUCUGUUCUUGGGGGUCUUUGUGCUCAUAUAAUGUGUCAUGUUUAUUUUAGGUUUGUUAGACUUCGUCUCCAUCUAACGGAUCUGAACGGCCUCCGCAUGUUUGCAUUGGUGGCGCUGCCAGGGAUUGACGGUGCCGUCGGCUUGCGGCACGGCGCCGCCUGUAGAUCUCGGCAGUGCCCAUUUUCGCACCUCGUGCUGCGUCAGCAGUGGUGGGGAACGCCCUUGCAGCAUCCGACGCUGCGUUGGGACUGGAGGGACCACACAUUGAGCCCAGCUCGGUCAGGUGUGGUCAUCUGUCCCAUGCCUACCCCCAGAUUAUGUCUUCGCACAGCUGAUUGGGGGUACUAGUACCUGCGCUACCUCCUAUAUGGAAAGACAGGCCUGUUCUAUAUCCCUCCCUUUCUCAUUCGGAGCAAAUUAUCCCUUACUGUCUGUAGAACCAUUUUUUCCCCUUGAUGCUUGGUGCAAAUAAUAGAAAACUUCCUUUGCUGGAUAGGUUGUCAUCAAAAAGAAAUUCUUAUAUAAGUUGGGAACAAAGGCCCAGGUUAUCUUGAAAGGGAAAUAUUUUUUUUUGCUUAUGUGGCUCACGAUGAAAUUGAUUUCUCAUAUAAUGGAAUGUAGGCUGAUGAUCUCCAGUGGUCUUUUUUUGAAAGGGAAAUAUUUUUUGCCCAUGUGGCUCAUAAUGAAAUUGAUUUCUCAUAUAAGUUGGUAAUAUAGGCUGAUGAUCUUCAGCGGUCCAGGCAUGUUCAUGUAUAUAUGUAUUGUUAUCUAUUUAUUUAUCAUGCUUCAUCAAUUCCUUGAGGUCAACAUAUUGCAACUUCCCCUUAGGGCUGGCAGUACACUUAGUGCUACUAAUUGUGCCUAACUAAAUGGUGCUAUUUUGUAUGUGUUACCAACUUGAAUUUUUUUUGUAAAGGGCGCUAUUCUCAGUGCAUGCCGUUGUGCCUAACUAAAGGAGAUCAAAUAAUGCCAUUUUGGGUUCAUUUCUGAAGGUUCCUAUUUGUAGCCCACAUCUAAUUUGUGCCAGUUACAAUACACUCUCGUGGCUUAAAGAAUGAAAGAAGCUGCCCACCCUUCAUAGGUUUUUGGGUUAAUGAGACAUCCUCCCAUGUGCUCAUGCUUGAUGGAUUCAGGUGCAACCUAUGUGUCGCUAAGAAGAAUGUAAAGGCGACGACGAUCAAGGAUGAGAAUCAGACCGAACCAUGAACAUUGGGUGAUAGUGAUGCCUAUAGCAUAGGCAACCAAACUCUUAAACCCACAGCUCUCUUCCGUGUAAAAUAUUUCGGACACACUGUCAGAUAUCUCUGAAUACUAUAUCUUACAAAAAUUAGCACCCAACUGUACAAUCAUGUUGUGUAAUGUAGCGACCCAGCAUCUUAUGAUGCUUUGGUAUGUUUAACGAGACUCAAACGUAUACCAAACCUAAGUACUACUAUGAUAUGUAGUCCUUUGUACAUAUAACCAUAUUGUCUACAUUAUCCUUCA